This 498-nucleotide ribosomal RNA is filed under the name uncultured bacterium. RNAcentral describes it as "partial 16S ribosomal RNA". It matches the Rfam family "Bacterial small subunit ribosomal RNA", at positions 30 to 523 of the family's 1533-position model. The record is from RNAcentral.
AUUGAACGCUGGCGGCAUGCCUUACACAUGCAAGUCGAACGGUAACAGGUCUUCGGAUGCUGACGAGUGGCGAACGGGUGAGUAAUACAUCGGAACGUGCCUAGUAGUGGGGGAUAACUACUCGAAAGAGUGGCUAAUACCGCAUGAGAUCUACGGAUGAAAGCAGGGGAUCGCAAGACCUUGUGCUACUAGAGCGGCCGAUGGCAGAGUAGGUAGUUGGUGGGAUAAAAGCUUACCAAGCCGACGAUCUGUAGCUGGUCUGAGAGGACGAUCAGCCACACUGGGACUGAGACACGGGCCAGACUCCUACAGGAGGCAGCAGUGGGGAAUUUUGGACAAUGGGCGCAAGCCUGAUCCAGCAAUGCCGCGUGCAGGAUGAAGGCCUUCGGGUUGUAAACUGCUUUUGUACGGAACGAAAAGCCCUGGGUUAAUACCCUGGGGUCAUGACGGUACCGUAAGAAUAAGCACCGGCUAACUACGUGCCAGCCGCCGCAGUAA